AAAUUGAAGAGUUUGAUCAUGGCUCAGAUUGAACGCUGGCGGCAGGCCUAACACAUGCAAGUCGAACGGUAACAGGAAACAGCUUGCUGUUUCGCUGACGAGUGGCGGACGGGUGAGUAAUGUCUGGGAAACUGCCUGAUGG
RNAcentral lists this ribosomal RNA (142 nucleotides) under Escherichia coli. RNAcentral describes it as "partial 16S ribosomal RNA". It matches the Rfam family "Bacterial small subunit ribosomal RNA", at positions 1 to 136 of the family's 1533-position model. RNAcentral also lists the same sequence under 1 other name. Lineage: Bacteria; Pseudomonadati; Pseudomonadota; Gammaproteobacteria; Enterobacterales; Enterobacteriaceae. The record is from RNAcentral.